This 607-nucleotide ribosomal RNA is filed under the name uncultured bacterium. Its description in RNAcentral is "bacterial SSU rRNA". It matches the Rfam family "Bacterial small subunit ribosomal RNA", at positions 332 to 929 of the family's 1533-position model. The record is from RNAcentral.
CAGACUCCUACGGGAGGCAGCAGUGGGGAAUCUUCCGCAAUGGACGAAAGUCUGACGGAGCAACGCCGCGUGAGUGAUGACGGCCUUCGGGUUGUAAAGCUCUGUUAAUCGGGACGAAAGGCCUUCUUGCGAAUAGUGAGAAGGAUUGACGGUACCGGAAUAGAAAGCCACGGCUAACUACGUGCCAGCAGCCGCGGUAAUACGUAGGUGGCAAGCGUUGUCCGGAAUUAUUGGGCGUAAAGCGCGCGCAGGCGGAUAGGUCAGUCUGUCUUAAAAGUUCGGGGCUUAACCCCGUGAUGGGAUGGAAACUGCCAAUCUAGAGUAUCGGAGAGGAAAGUGGAAUUCCUAGUGUAGCGGUGAAAUGCGUAGAUAUUAGGAAGAACACCAGUGGCGAAGGCGACUUUCUGGACGAAAACUGACGCUGAGGCGCGAAAGCCAGGGGAGCGAACGGGAUUAGAUACCCCGGUAGUCCUGGCCGUAAACGAUGGGUACUAGGUGUAGGAGGUAUCGACCCCUUCUGUGCCGGAGUUAACGCAAUAAGUACCCCGCCUGGGGAGUACGACCGCAAGGUUGAAACUCAAAGGAAUUGACGGGGGCCCCGCACAAG